RNAcentral lists this ribosomal RNA (1135 nucleotides) under Cricetulus griseus (Chinese hamster). RNAcentral's name for it is "Bacterial small subunit ribosomal RNA". It matches the Rfam family "Bacterial small subunit ribosomal RNA". The record is from Rfam by way of RNAcentral. Lineage: Eukaryota; Metazoa; Chordata; Mammalia; Rodentia; Cricetidae.
AAACACAAAGGUUUGGUCCUGGCCUUAUAAUUAAUUGAAGGUAGAAUUACACAUGCAAAACUCCCUACACCAGCCGGGUGUUGGUGGCGAGCGUCUUUAAUCCCAGCACUUGGGAGACAGAGGCAGGCAGAUCUCUGUGAGUUCGAGGCCAGCCUGGUCUCCAGAGCGAGUGCCAGGAUAGGCUCCAAAGCUACACAGAGAAACCCUGUCUUGGAAAACCAAAACCAAAACAAAACAAAAAAACUCCUUACACCAGUUCAAAUCCCUAGACUUUAGUCUUUAAGCUCUAAGGAGAGGGUAUCAAGCACAUACUAAUAGUUAAAAACUCCUUGCCUAGCCACGCCCCCCAGGGGACUCAGCAGUGAUAAAAAUUAAGCAAUAAACGAAAGUUUGACUUAGUAAUACCUUUCACAGGGUUGGUAAAUUUCAUGCCAGCCACCUUUGUCAUACGAUUGACCCAAACUAAUUAUCUUCGUCAUAAAACGGAUUAUAGACUUAAGUUAAUAGAAUUAAAACCCAACUAAUAUGUGACAACUCAUUGUUGGAGCUAAACUCAAUGACGAAAGUAAUUCUACCAAUACAGGACAGCUAAGGCCCAAACUAGGAUUAGAUACCCCAAUAUGAUUAGCCUUAAACUUAAAUAAUUAAAUAACAAAACUAUUUGCCCGCGAACUACUAGCCACAGCUUAAAACUCAAAGGACUUGGCGGUACUUUAUAUCCAUCUAGAGGAGCCUGUUCUAUAAUCGAUAAACCCCGUUAUACCUCACCACCCCUUGCUAAUUCAGCUUAUAUACUACCAUCUUCAGCAAACCUUAAAAAAGGACAAGAGUAAGCAAGAGCAUAACCGUAAAAACUUUAGGUCAAGGUGUAGCCUAUGAGGUGGGAAGUAAUGGGCUACAUUUUCUUGAUAAGAACAUUCACGCUACCUUCUAUGAAAUCUAGAGGACAAAGGAGGAUUUAGUAGUAAAUUAAGAAUCGAGAGCUUAAUUGAAUAGAGCAAUGAAUUACGUAUACACCGCCUGCCACCCUCCUCAAAUUAGACUGCCGAUCUUAAUAGUGAUCGACAAGCCUAUGAGAGGAGAUAAGUUAUAACAAGGUAAGCAUACUGGAAAGUGUGCUUGGAUUAAUCAUAAC